GUCGCUAUAGUUUAACAAAAACACUAGGGUGUGGACCUAGAAACAGAAGUUUAAUUCUUCUUAGUGACC
RNAcentral lists this transfer RNA (69 nucleotides) under Morethia adelaidensis. RNAcentral's name for it is "tRNA-His". It matches the Rfam family "tRNA". From Rfam's summary of the family: Transfer RNA (tRNA) molecules are approximately 80 nucleotides in length. Their secondary structure includes four short double-helical elements and three loops (D, anti-codon, and T loops). Further hydrogen bonds mediate the characteristic L-shaped molecular structure. tRNAs have two regions of fundamental functional importance: the anti-codon, which is responsible for specific mRNA codon recognition, and the 3' end, to which the tRNAs corresponding amino acid is attached (by aminoacyl-tRNA synthetases). tRNAs cope with the degeneracy of the genetic code in two manners: having more than one tRNA (with a specific anti-codon) for a particular amino acid; and 'wobble' base-pairing, i.e. permitting non-standard base-pairing at the 3rd anti-codon position. The record is from RNAcentral. Lineage: Eukaryota; Metazoa; Chordata; Lepidosauria; Squamata; Scincidae.